RNAcentral lists this ribosomal RNA (497 nucleotides) under uncultured bacterium. RNAcentral describes it as "partial 16S ribosomal RNA". It matches the Rfam family "Bacterial small subunit ribosomal RNA", at positions 28 to 507 of the family's 1533-position model. The record is from RNAcentral.
GAUGAACGCUGGCGGCGUGCCUAAUACAUGCAAGUCGAGCGAACAGACGAGGAGCUUGCUCCUCUGACGUUAGCGGCGGACGGGUGAGUAACACGUGGAUAACCUACCUAUAAGACUGGGAUAACUUCGGGAAACCGGAGCUAAUACCGGAUAAUAUAUUGAACCGCAUGGUUCAAUAGUGAAAGACGGUUUUGCUGUCACUUAUAGAUGGAUCCGCGCCGCAUUAGCUAGUUGGUAAGGUAACGGCUUACCAAGGCAACGAUGCGUAGCCGACCUGAGAGGGUGAUAGGCCACACUGGAACGGAGACACGGUCCAGACUCCUACGGGAGGCAGCAGUAGGGAAUCUUCCGCAAUGGGCGAAAGCCUGACGGAGCAACGCCGCGUGAGUGAUGAAGGUCUUCGGAUCGUAAAACUCUGUUAUUAGGGAAGAACAAAUGUGUAAGUAACUAUGCACGUCUUGACGGUACCUAAUCAGAAAGCCACGGCUAAAUACGUG